GCGGCUGCACCACUAGGAUGCCCUGAUCCAACAUCGAGGUCGUAAACCUAUCUGUCGAUAAGGGCUCUUGAGAUAGAUUGCGCUGUUAUCCCUAGGGUAACUUGGUUCGUUGAUCAAUAUAUUGGGUCAAUUAAUGUCAAUUUGUUGGUGCUUAAAGUUGUAGCUUUUUGUUCAGGAGUAGCUCCGUUCAAUGUGGAGGAUAAUUUUUUCUCCGCGGUCACCCCAACCUAAAAUCUACAGGCAUUCUGACUAGAAUAGUUAUUAAUGUUCUGAAACUUUAUAAUUGGUAAGUCAGUGCCCUAUGAUUUGAAGCUCCAUAGGGUCUUCUCGUCUUAUAUUUUUAUCCCCGCUUCUUCACGGGGAGAUCAGUUUCAUUGAUUGGAGAAAGGAGACAGUACCACCCUCGUGGUGCCAUUCAUACUAGUCCUCAUUUAAAGAACAAGUGAUUACGCUACCUUCGCACGGUUAGGAUACCGCGGCCGUUGAACUUAGUCACUGGGCAGGCUGGACCUCUUAUAAUAGUUUCAAGAGGCGAUGUUUUUGGUAAACAGGCGGGGUUGAUAUUUGCCGAGUUCCUUCUUUCUCUUUUGAUCUUUCUUUUAAUGCUCUGGUGUUAGAUUAACGUUUUAGUUAAAUAGGGUUUUCUAGGAAAGUUGCUGUUUUAUAUUCAUGGACGAUUAAUUGUCAGUGGUGGGUCCUUUCUGAUGUACACUUGCAUUUAAGAGAAGGGCUAUCUUCUUAUUACUAGUUUUAACAUAAUUACUUCUAUAAGUGUAUAGAAUCGCUUAAUAGAGAUAAAGGG
Molecule: ribosomal RNA, 802 nt
Filed under: Dendropsophus marmoratus (marbled treefrog)
Lineage: Eukaryota; Metazoa; Chordata; Amphibia; Anura; Hylidae
Description: partial 16S ribosomal RNA
Source: RNAcentral